AGAGUUGAUCCUGGCUCAGAUGACGCUGGCGGUAGGCUUAACACAUGCAAGUCGUGCGAGAAAGUAUCUCGGAUAUGAGUAGAGCGGCGGACGGGUGAGUAACGCGUAGGAAUCUACUAGUAGAAGGGGAUAGCCCGGGGAAACUCGGAUUAAUACCGUAUACCUCUUUCGGGAGAAAGAAGGCCUCUCUUUGAUGCUUUCGCUAUUAGAUGAGCCUGCGUAAGAUUAGCUUGUUGGUGAGGUAAAGGCUCACCAAGGCGACGAUCUUUAGCUGGUCUGAGAGGACGAUCAGCCACAUUGGGACUGAGACACGGCCCAGACUCCUACGGGAGGCAGCAGUGGGGAAUAUUGGACAAUGGGCGCAAGCCUGAUCCAGCCAUACCGCGUGUGUGAAGAAGGCCUUCGGGUUGUAAAGCACUUUAAGCAGGGAGAAAAAGUUAUAAGUUAAUACCUUAUAGCCGUGAUGUUACCUGCAGAAUAAGCACCGGCUAAUUCCGUGCCAGCAGCCGCGGUAAUACGGAAGGUGCAAGCGUUAAUCGGAAUUACUGGGCGUAAAGCGCGCGUAGGUGGUUUGUUAAGUUGGAUGUGAAAGCCCUGGGCUCAACCUAGGAACUGCAUCCAAAACUAACUCACUAGAGUACGAUAGAGGGAGGUAGAAUUCAUAGUGUAGCGGUGGAAUGCGUAGAUAUUAUGAAGAAUACCAGUGGCGAAGGCGGCCUCCUGGAUCUGUACUGACACUGAGGUGCGAAAGCGUGGGUAGCGAACAGGAUUAGAUACCCUGGUAGUCCACGCCGUAAACGAUGACAACUAGCUGUUGGAAGACAAUGUCUUUCAGUGGCGCAGCUAACGUUUUAAGUUGUCCGCCUGGGGAGUACGGCCGCAAGGCUAAAACUCAAAGGAAUUGACGG
Molecule: ribosomal RNA, 908 nt
Filed under: uncultured marine bacterium
Lineage: Bacteria
Description: bacterial SSU rRNA
Rfam family: Bacterial small subunit ribosomal RNA
Source: RNAcentral